UGAUUUUUUCAUCACGGCUAAAUGUGGACAUACUGUCCAUUUGUCCCCGUUAGUGGAGUCACGGGGAAAAUUCAAGUGUAGAAUUUGCGGUGUAUCGGACGCAAGUGUUGAUGCCGCUGUCCGUCAAUUUGUGAUAAAACUGUGUACAGAGG
This is a long non-coding RNA of Xenia sp. Carnegie-2017, 152 nucleotides long. RefSeq lists it as uncharacterized. Lineage: Eukaryota; Metazoa; Cnidaria; Anthozoa; Malacalcyonacea; Xeniidae. The transcript has 3 exons. The record is from RefSeq and is a predicted model, not a curated record.